Long non-coding RNA from Stegodyphus dumicola, 825 nucleotides. NCBI's taxonomy places the organism in Eukaryota, Metazoa, Arthropoda, Arachnida, Araneae, Eresidae. The record is from RefSeq and is a predicted model, not a curated record.
UAAAUUUUAAGAGAGUAAAAUAUUGACAAAAACUGCAUUAAGUUUUCAACUCUUGUUUUGUUUUUCAUUAAAAAUUUGCUACCAUUAUGUAUAAUUCAUUUUUUUAAUGUAAAUGUUUUUAAGUAUUUGUAGGAUAAAGGCAAAUUACACUUAUUCAUUCUUUCUUUGAUAUAAUACAUGUAGCUCUUUACCUGAAAUCAAUGUUUGUCAAAUUAUUGUGCAUAAAUUAGAAGUAUGCAUGUUUCUCUUAAGUCAGUUAUGUUUCAGGAACUAUCUUUAAUGAAUUGUAUAGAAAAUUGUGGACGAGGUGUUAGGUGUACAGGAACGUGGUAUAUUAUAAACAUGUAUAGUAUCUCAUAGUAUAUAAACUCAUAACUUUGAUUAUGCAGUAUGCUUUGUAUAUUAUUUCUGAAAGCAUGUAUAUUUCAAUCAAGAUUGUUGAGUAAACUUUUCUUGCUUUAUGCUAUCUCUGAAAGCAUGUAUAUUUCAGUCAAGAUUGUUGAGUAAAUUGUGCUUAUUUUAUGCUUUUUUCUUUUUUACAUUAGAAAAUUCCACACCUUUAUCACGAGGAAAUCUGCAAUGGCAUUUAGGAAUGACAAAUAGAAGCUCAACUAUUCGAAGCAGGAGACCGAAGAGAAAAAAGGAAGAGAGAUGAUAUUACAGCUGCAGAAAAGGAAAUAAUUGAAACGCAGAAGAAUAUAUUAAUGUACUGUGUGAAAUAUGUGACUUGUAUAAGCAAUCAGUUGCAAAUCAGUCUGCUGUCAUAGAAAAUCAAAAUAUAAUUAUUAAUUUAUUAAAAAAAUAAAUCAUGCAUUUCAAAUAUUA